This 470-nucleotide ribosomal RNA is filed under the name uncultured bacterium. RNAcentral describes it as "bacterial SSU rRNA". It matches the Rfam family "Bacterial small subunit ribosomal RNA", at positions 28 to 507 of the family's 1533-position model. The record is from RNAcentral.
GACGAACGCUGGCGGCGUGCCUAACACAUGCAAGUCGAACGGACUUGAAGGGAGCUUGCUCCCGACAAGUUAGUGGCGGACGGGCGAGUAACGCGUGAGCAACCUGCCCUUCAGUGGGGAAUAACGACUGGAAACGGUCGCUAAUACCGCAUAACAUACUUUUGUGGCAUCGCAGGAGUAUCAAAGGAGCAAUUCGCUGAAGGAUGGGCUCGCGUCCGAUUAGCUAGUUGGUGGGGUAACGGCCUACCAAGGCGACGAUCGGUAGCCGAACUGAGAGGUUGAUCGGCCGCAUUGGGACUGAGACACGGCCCAGACUCCUACGGGAGGCAGCAGUGGGGGAUAUUGCACAAUGGGGGAAACCCUGAUGCAGCAACGCCGCGUGAGGGAAGAAGGUCUUCGGAUUGUAAACCUAAGUUGUCAGGGACGAACAAAUGACGGUACCUGAAAAGGAAGCUCCGGCUAACUACGUG